AUCCCUGGAGUGGUUGCUUAAGAGAUAAGUCGAGAGCCUCGAUGGUCUACGUGGGUCCCUCUGAGGCCAGAAGAGGGCGCUGCGUGCCCUCCAGACACCCCUGGUCCCCAGCAGUUUAGCCACAGGGGAUCGAAUAUAUCUGCAUGAAGGAUAGCCACCCACGAGCUAAACAAAAUUUCUCCGCCUUUAGAGAGAGAGAGAGAGAGAGAGAGAGAGAGAGAGAGAGAGAGAGAGAGAGAGAGAGAGAGAGAGAGAGAGGUCCCAGGAGACCCACCCACGAUACAGAAACAGAACUAGAAAAGCUUGCAGUUCUGCUGAAUAGAUGCAAAUGAUUUUGGUGAGAGUAACUUAACAGAGCGUUUAUCUUGCAUUGCAUCUCCUGGAGAGAAGAACUUUAGCGGGUACUGAGUUCACACCCAGGGAAGUGACGGUAACUCAGCAGGCAGUGUGUCUGGAGUGACCUCAGAGCAAUCAUGCCCACAGCCACACAGAAGAAUCUGAAGGAGUUCCAAAGAUGGCAACAAAUGAUCUUAACAUCCCUGCUGCCUCUGGCCUUGAAAGCAUGGAACACACCCUUUUUUGUUGACCAACCAAGCUUGAUGGAGCCUGGUAACCCCAGGGCCUGUUUUCCAGGGAACCACUGAUCUGGGAGUGUCUACACCGGAACAGGAUACUGCCUGGUGGGAGGAAGAACAACUCACUUCACUGAAAACCAAGCAUUUAUUUCAAGGGACCUAGAUCAACUGUAUGGUUUUUUCAACAAUAAUUUCCUUAAGAUUCCUCACCACAAAUGCUUUAGAAGCUGAGCUGGUAGUUUACUGCCUUCUGGUCAUGCUAUGAAACAAAUGCAGACCUCAUUAAAGGAGGAAACCAAAAUUCUAAAGAGCUGGGCAUCACAGCACAUGCUUUUAAUCUUGGAGGCAGGCAGAAAUUGGUGAGUUCCAGGUCAGCCUGGUCUACAUAGCCAGAUCCAGGCCUGCCAGCACUACAUAGUGAUUUAAAAAAACUCAUUCUAAAAUUUUUCUUCUAGAUGCCUCAUUAAAACAUUCCUCAUUUCUCAAGAUUUUCCUUUUGGAAAAAUAGGCCUUUAAAAGUAAAACAUACCAAUUUUAAGUAACUUCAAUCUCUCUCUCUCUCUCUCUCUCUCUCUCUCUCUCUCUCUCUCUCUCUCUCUCUCAAGUAUUUGGAAAGGCCAACUGAAUCAACUUCCCAUCUCCCUCAGAAAAAUAACUUCUUUAUCAGUUUGGACUUCAUAAUUUAGUGAUAGUUGUAUCUGGUCUAGGCUGAGGUUAUUCUGAUAUUAUCUGAACACAAGGAACUAUUCUAAGCUAAUCAACAACAUCUGUACCAUUUGGGACCAGUGAUUCUGCAAUGGCUUAGAGGAUUCUGUGUACUAUGCAUGUGCUCAGUCUGAAUUUGGUAUCUCAGGUGCCAAGCAGGCUGUCAGACCUCUUCUACUGAAUCUUCUACUGAAUAAACCUGUAGUUUAUUAUCCUUUCCCAACCAUUUAAAUUAAUAUAUACACACACAUAUAUAUGUAUGUAUGUUUAUAUGUAUGUAUGUAUGUAUGUAUGUACGUAUGUAUGCAUAUGUAUUCUGCCUAUGAGAGAUUACAAGUAACUUGGUAGACACUGACUAGAUCAUCCAUUUGUGACAGGACCAGUGAGUACUUUGGUGAGUCUCUUGGCAAAAGUGCACAUGGAAAAGAAACUGCUGGGCAAACCCAGCAUAGGAUGCUUCUCGUGGAUUACAAAGUAAGUAGCCUGUGCUCUGCAAAGAGUGAAUGUCAGGAAACACAGGGCCAUGGACCUGCCUGCAUUGAUGGAGGCUACAGGCAGGGUAAAGGAGUGCAGCACAUGACCCAGGCUCUCUCUUUUGCUGUUAGAAGUGUGAACUUAUUCUGCACAGGAAAGCAGACUCCAUACAAACUGCUGGCCCUGACAGUGACACCAGCUUAAGGAAGAAAAUGCUUUUAUUUAGUGGGGAAAGCUAUUAUAGCUUUAAAUUUCAAAUAGCUUGGAAAAAUGUGUGAGGAAGGAUGCAAAAUGACACAGUACUGGCUCACUGAACACAGUACUGGCUCACUGAACUCAGGUGAGAGGCGCAAGGGGAUUCUUGUGUGAUUCUUACAAAAUACUAUAU
Apodemus sylvaticus (European woodmouse) is the source of this 2142-nucleotide long non-coding RNA. RefSeq lists it as uncharacterized. The record is from RefSeq and is a predicted model, not a curated record. The transcript is spliced from 3 exons. NCBI's taxonomy places the organism in Eukaryota, Metazoa, Chordata, Mammalia, Rodentia, Muridae.